Vicia faba (fava bean) is the source of this 310-nucleotide non-coding RNA. NCBI's taxonomy places the organism in Eukaryota, Viridiplantae, Streptophyta, Magnoliopsida, Fabales, Fabaceae. The record is from the annotation of a GenBank genome assembly.
UUCAAAGCCAUUUCUUUGGAUUAUUCAUCAUGAAAGUGAAAGCAAACUUCUUUACAAAACACAAGAAUCCAUAUGUCAUGUUAUGUCAUUCAAUCAUACCAUUACAACUUCAAAUCAUCUAUUUUCCAACAUAGAAAAAAUUUACACAAGAAAAUACGCCCAUAUUAUUACAAAGUGUGCAAAGGCAUCACAAAAUCACUACCCAACACGAGACAUUACAUCAAGAAAUCAUACACAACACAUAUGCCUUAUCCUAAACCCAGUGGCUACUAUUCUUGGUGCUUCCAUCUUCACCAAUUCAUGUCCCUAA